UACAGAGGUGGCAAGCGUUGUUCGGAUUUACUGGGCGUAAAGGGCGCGUAGGCGGUCAGCACAAGUCAGUUGUGAAAUCUCCGGGCUUAACUCGGAAAGGUCAACUGAUACUGUGCGACUAGAGUGCAGAAGGGGCAACUGGAAUUCUCGGUGUAGCGGUGAAAUGCGUAGAUAUCGAGAGGAACACCUGCGGCGAAGGCGGGUUGCUGGGCUGACACUGACGCUGAUGCGCGAAAGCCAGGGGAGCGAACGGG
RNAcentral lists this ribosomal RNA (254 nucleotides) under uncultured bacterium. RNAcentral's name for it is "partial 16S ribosomal RNA". It matches the Rfam family "Bacterial small subunit ribosomal RNA", at positions 524 to 776 of the family's 1533-position model. The record is from RNAcentral.